RNAcentral lists this ribosomal RNA (717 nucleotides) under Mycoplana sp. MJ208. Its description in RNAcentral is "bacterial SSU rRNA". It matches the Rfam family "Bacterial small subunit ribosomal RNA", at positions 122 to 874 of the family's 1533-position model. The record is from RNAcentral. Lineage: Bacteria; Pseudomonadati; Pseudomonadota; Alphaproteobacteria; Hyphomicrobiales; Rhizobiaceae.
GAACGUGCCUUUAGGUUCGGAAUAGCUCCUGGAAACGGGUGGUAAUGCCGAAUGUGCCCUUCGGGGGAAAGAUUUAUCGCCUUUAGAGCGGCCCGCGUCUGAUUAGCUAGUUGGUGAGGUAAUGGCUCACCAAGGCGACGAUCAGUAGCUGGUCUGAGAGGAUGACCAGCCACAUUGGGACUGAGACACGGCCCAAACUCCUACGGGAGGCAGCAGUGGGGAAUCUUGCGCAAUGGGCGAAAGCCUGACGCAGCCAUGCCGCGUGAAUGAUGAAGGUCUUAGGAUUGUAAAAUUCUUUCACCGGGGACGAUAAUGACGGUACCCGGAGAAGAAGCCCCGGCUAACUUCGUGCCAGCAGCCGCGGUAAUACGAAGGGGGCUAGCGUUGCUCGGAAUUACUGGGCGUAAAGGGCGCGUAGGCGGACAUUUAAGUCAGGGGUGAAAUCCCAGAGCUCAACUCUGGAACUGCCUUUGAUACUGGAUGUCUUGAGUGUGAGAGAGGUAUGUGGAACUCCGAGUGUAGAGGUGAAAUUCGUAGAUAUUCGGAAGAACACCAGUGGCGAAGGCGACAUACUGGCUCAUUACUGACGCUGAGGCGCGAAAGCGUGGGGAGCAAACAGGAUUAGAUACCCUGGUAGUCCACGCCGUAAACGAUGAUUGCUAGUUGUCGGGCUGCAUGCAGUUCGGUGACGCAGCUAACGCAUUAAGCAAUCCGCCU